Molecule: transfer RNA, 73 nt
Filed under: Mesocricetus auratus (golden hamster)
Lineage: Eukaryota; Metazoa; Chordata; Mammalia; Rodentia; Cricetidae
Rfam family: tRNA
About the family: Transfer RNA (tRNA) molecules are approximately 80 nucleotides in length. Their secondary structure includes four short double-helical elements and three loops (D, anti-codon, and T loops).
Source: Rfam by way of RNAcentral
GUGGAUGUAGCUCAUUUGGUAAGAGGGCCUGCCUAGUGUGCAUGAAGCCCUGGGUUCAAAUCCCAGCGGCACA